GACCGACACCCCGUCUUUGCCCUCCCCGCUGGGCCGCAGCAGCAAGUUCCCACAGUCAGGGUAGCGCUCCAGGAGCAGCUGCGCCUCCAGACGGCUGACCCUCAGGAAGCACCUGUGGGGGGUGGGGUCAUCAGACAGCCCUGGAUCCCCAUUGGUCCUCACACUGGGAUGUCACAGUCCUGGGUAGCAGCCAGCACUCACCAGGGCACCUCCAGUGCUCGACGUGCCUCUUCUUUGGCUUGGACCUCGGCCAUCAUGUACAGGUGUCCAGAUGGGUAAACUGAGGCCAACCUGGGGAACUAGGACGGAACCCCUGGAGCUCCAGAAUCAAAGAAAUAAAUUCCAGAAGUUUGAAAACUGGGUGUGACAGCUACCUGUCAUCCCAGAACUCAGGAGACUGAGGCAGGAGGAUCAGGAAUUCGAGGCCAUCCUUGGCUACACAGAGAGUUGGAGGAGAGCCUGGGCUACCUGAGACCCUGUCCCAAAAAUAAUUACAUAAAUAAACAAGAAAUGAAAAGUUGUAGCCUUCUCGUGGCAAAACAGAAGGUGUCUAUGGGUUGUCCACAGCCCAGGAUUUUCAGGAUGAAAACUGUCUUGUGUUCUAGAAGUUUCUUUGGGAAUGAAGGACUGGGGGAGGGGGGAAGGGAUAGUGAGUCACAGAUGUUACAGUGGCUAAUCUCAGUAUAGAGCCUGACAGGUUCUAAAAUCAUGAUGGUAACAAACCUCUGGGCCUGUGUGUGAGGAAGUGCCCAGGCUGUGUUAACUGAAAUGGAAAAAUCCACCCGGAAUUGUGGGUGUGGCACCAUCCCUGGGCUGGGGAGUCAGAAAUAAGAGGAGACCUUGAGCUGAGUACCAGCACACAUCUCUCUCCACUUUCUGAUGGCUGAUGUGACCUGGACAGCAUAGCUGCUGUGGCCUCACAUUCCUGCUGCCCUUGAACUAUGAUCCGGGAUAAAAAUCUUCCUUUCCUUUAGGCCGUUUGUGUCAGGUAUUUUGUCACAGUAAGAAGUCACUAACAGGGCUGGAGAGAUGGCUCAGUGG
This is a long non-coding RNA of Nannospalax galili (Upper Galilee mountains blind mole rat), 1041 nucleotides long. RefSeq lists it as uncharacterized. The record is from RefSeq and is a predicted model, not a curated record. The transcript is spliced from 3 exons. NCBI's taxonomy places the organism in Eukaryota, Metazoa, Chordata, Mammalia, Rodentia, Spalacidae.